Molecule: long non-coding RNA, 1211 nt
Organism: Nilaparvata lugens (brown planthopper)
Lineage: Eukaryota; Metazoa; Arthropoda; Insecta; Hemiptera; Delphacidae
Exons: 2
Source: RefSeq, a predicted model, not a curated record
GUACCUUAUUGGGCUAUGAAAUAGUAGUCAUCCAAAUGUUCAUAGGUUUAAAAUAAUCCAAGAAGAUGGAAAAGUAAUUAUACAAUUAAUUAAUAUGUUUUGACAGUAAACAGAGUACAUUACACUUGGAAAAUAAUAUGUUGUAAAACGUACAACACGCGACUGCUCGUGUGAUUGAGUAGGGCGUGACUACCGGAAUGUUAAUAUAUCAUUACAUCAAUAAACCUGUAUCAUCUACCGUCUAUAGAAGGUAUUGACAAGACAGGUGAUCGGCAAUGAAGCUCUGCUAUCUUUCUUCACUGCUAUUAUAACGUGGACCUCACUAUAGUAACCUGUAUCAUCUACCGUCUCAAGAAGGCAUUGACAAGCCAGAGGAUCGGCAACGUUGUUCUGCUAUCUUUCUUCACUGCUAUUAUAACGUGGACCUCACUCUAGUAAAAUUGAGAAAUAAUGUGAAUGAACUGAGUUGAGUCAAGAAAGAGUUUUCUCAAAAAGUGAUUUAUUCUGAUAAUAUAAUUAAAAAAUGAUGGGAGUGAACUGUGUUUAGUCAAAAAACCUUUUAUCCAUACUUGGAACUGAGUACUCACCCACGUGGACUAUACUAGCCUGUAUGUUAUGUAUAGGUGCGUACACACCUAUAGCUUCCUGGAAGAACGCCUAAUAUGUCCUCACCCUAAUUCAUAGAUCAACAUGGGAAGGCUACGACAGGUUCCAUUUUACAAAUAACACGUAAAAUAAAUUAUAUAAUUUCUUUAUUAAUUCUUCAAUUUUUCCAAUUUACAACUCAGAAUCAAAAGUCUAUCAACUAGGGAUACAAAAAUUAACACAUACUUGAUUAAGAAAUUUUGAUGGUGUACUUUGAUAUUAAGGCUACUAUAAAAAUCAUUCUGAUAGUUUUUAAAAUAAUGUUAUAGACAAUCAUUCUAGAAUUCCAACACUAAUUACAGUGGGAAAUUGAGCCUAAACUAAGUUACAUCAGCAUCACAAUUUUAGAAGUAUGAGUGUAGUAUCUAUUUACUUACAGUAUUGCGAAAUAUGAGAAUAAUGAAAGUAGCUAAAGCCAUCUGUAGAUAGUACAAAGUCAUUACAAUAACACAUUCAAUUGAUCAUCCCCAAAGCUAUGUCAUGUUCUUUCAAUUGUAAUUGAAAUGGAUUUCCGGAUUUUGAGAUAAAAUGAAGAUAUUUCUAAGACAGAUAAAUUGAAAAAAAAA